UAGUGUAGGCGGUUGCUUAAGUUUGGUGUGAAAUCUCCCGGCUCAACCGGGAGGGUGCGCCGAAUACUGAGUGACUCGAGUGCGGGAGAGGAGAGUGGAAUUCCUGGUGUAGCGGUGAAAUGCGUAGAUAUCAGGAGGAACGCCGGUGGUGUAGACGGCUCUCUGGACCGUAACUGACGCUGAGACACGAAAGCGUGGGUAGCAAACAGGAUUAGAUACCCUGGUAGUCCACGCCCUAAACGAUGCAUAUUUGGUGUGGGCCGUUCAGUCGGUCCGUGCCGGAGCUAACGCGUUAAAUAUGCCGCCUGGGGAGUACAGUCGCAAGGCUGAA
RNAcentral lists this ribosomal RNA (331 nucleotides) under uncultured bacterium. Its description in RNAcentral is "bacterial SSU rRNA". It matches the Rfam family "Bacterial small subunit ribosomal RNA", at positions 568 to 898 of the family's 1533-position model. The record is from RNAcentral.